Long non-coding RNA from Coturnix japonica (Japanese quail), 762 nucleotides. NCBI's taxonomy places the organism in Eukaryota, Metazoa, Chordata, Aves, Galliformes, Phasianidae. The record is from Ensembl.
CACAAGCACCACCCGCUCAGGCUGCCAGGUAGCUGGCAGAAUUUGGGGUUGUGUCUUUUAAAUGCUUGGAAGUUCUGAAACCGAAUAUUUUAUUUUAUUUUAUUUAUUUAAAUCUUGAGCUUGAAGUCAUCUGCUUUCAAGUAGUUUGUGACUGAAGAGUGCAUUGUGUAAUGCAGAUGGAGAAGGCUGGCUGAGGGAAUACAGGUUGCAUUAGGUUGGUCUUCAUGAGUGCUUGAAAGUACAGUGAGGCUUUCCUGAUUGCUGCAAAAAGUAUUUAAAUGCUGUGUUCAGAAUGCAAGUAGCAAAAAAGUAUGAGAAACUAUGCUACAGUAGCAAUGUGAAAAACAACAACAUGUGUAUACUGGAGUUGACACGGUGGGUCACAUCUGUAGCCAGACUUCUCCAGUACCCAGUGACCAGCAGCACAGAUUGAAGAAGAUGGUAUGGAAACACCUUCAAAAAUCAUCUGCAGAAAAUUAUUACCAGGAAUAAAGGACUAUAACAUCUAGGGAUGUUACACUGGCACAGGAUAUGCAGUCCCAAGCACUGUCUACAGUUGUGGAGAAGAACUGUAAAAGCUCCUGGUUAUGCAACCGAGGGGCAUGGCCUACAAAGGUGAUGCUGCUCAGUGUCUGUGCUGGAAACAAUGAGGAAAUGCCACAGACUCCUGUUCCGCAGGUAGCUCAGUGGGAGCAAAAAGCAAAAAGAGGAGAGAGCAAAUUAAAGAGGAUGAGAGAAUGCUUUUUUAAGGCAAAGUUGUGA